This 1365-nucleotide long non-coding RNA is filed under the name Equus caballus (horse). RNAcentral's name for it is "lncRNA (ENSECAG00000031138.3)". The record is from RNAcentral. Lineage: Eukaryota; Metazoa; Chordata; Mammalia; Perissodactyla; Equidae.
GUAGAACCACAUCAGAACAGUUUUUAGUAUGGGUUUUGUGCCACUGAAAAACAGCGCAGGAGAGCUGUCCUUACAAGAGAGAUGCUGGAGAUAUUUCUGGUGCAUUGAUUUGGAAAUCAUCAAGUAGAAUCCUAAAUGCCAAGGCCUGAAAACCUGUCUCCACUGUUCUUUCCUUCCCUUUUAAGGCUGGCAGAACUGCAAGCUGGGAUAACACCAAGGACUGGAAUUCCCCAAACUGAACUUUUGAACUAAGACAUCUUUUAUUCCUAGGCAUACCCUCAAGAGAUGUAAAAACAAGUCCACAUAAGAGCCCCUCAAAGAUAUGAGGAUCCUCUUGACUAGAAUUGAAUGAGAGAACGAACACAUAGUUAAUUUUGAAUUUCAGAUAAACAACAAAUAACUUCCAUGAUAUAGGUAUACCCCAAAUAUUGUGUAAGACAUAUGUAUACUAAAAAUUAUUAUUUAUAUAAUGUGAUGUCUUGUAAUUUUAUUUGCUAAAUCUGGCAGCUGUAUAUUGAUAGGACCCCAAACCCAUCUGUGGUUAGGAGUCUGGGAUUCUAAGAGCUCUAAUUAUAGGAAGCUGAGUCCAGAAGAUUCUGAGUUUGAUCUGCCAAGAGAGUCAAGGUUUUUUCUAGACACUGCAUGGAACUCUUCACCCUAGAAGAAAGCGGAGUGUGUGGGCCCUGGUAUCUCUUAAGAAGCAGAAAUCUAUUGCUUUGAGUUAGAGGAGAUCACUUUCUUCAGUCUGGUUUGAAGCAACCUCUCUCUGAGAAUUAUUUAUGGUGCUUCCUUAAAAUGCAUUCAUUGUUCACUAAAACAACAAAAGCCUGCUCUUCGUGCCCAGCUCCACUUCUGCUGGCAGAUCUUCCCUCUCAUUCACGUCUUCAUCAGACUUGACUAUGUCCUAGGCCUGUUCCAAGAGCUGGCCUGAUUUCAGUGGCACAAUGAUACAACUUGAAGGGUGACAUCAGCAAGACGGUGGAAUAGAAAGCUCCAUACCUUCCUUCCUCCUACAGAGACACUGACUUAACAACAAUACGUGGACCAACUUCCUUUAAGAGAAAUCCAGAAGCCAGUUAAGAGGCUCCUGCACCCCAGAUCAGCAUGAGACCACCUUCACGGAAGCUGGUUGCAAUUGAUAGAAGAAUCAAAUUUCCUUGGAGAAGACAAAAUGUAUAUGAAGUGCCUCCUGCAGAGCCAGGGAUGUCAUAGGUGCUCAGUAAAUAGUAAGUCUUAUUUUUUAAAAAAUACAUUUCCUUUUUUCUUUCUCUCUUUCUUUCUUUUCUCUUUCUUUCUUUCUCUCUCUCUCUUUCUUUCUCUCUCUCUCUCUCUUUCUUUCUUUCCUGCCUUCCUUCUCUCCUUCCC